GUUUUUUCUGCUCUGGCGCAUCCUCUGAAGGCUGAGAUGAAAGACAUGAUUCACUAGACUAAGACAUAUCCUGAAUCAAGAUGCCAGCCCCCUCCUGCACCCCACGCUCCAGAGGCUGGUCUGCUGAAUGAUGGCUGUAUCUGCCCCGAGGACACUGUGAGCCCCACUCCCAGGGUGAGAGGAGAAUGAUGGCAAAAGAAUUUGGUAUAUCCUUGCUCCCACCUUCCUGUUCUUGAAAGCACAGGACAUCUGUGGGAGGAUUAUCUCUGGAGGCCUUGAUGGAGAGUACCAACCAGUCUUCAUGUGAAGACACUCUGCGUUCCUCAGCACUUACCCGUGAUCUGCAUCCUUGACUAAUCAUCUCCUUGCGGAGAUGCCAGUGGAAGUGAUUGAGACAAAGGGGCGUAGCAUCAUCUUGAUGCUGAAGAGCUUUCAGAGGAGGUAAGGACAGGAUAUAUUACGGAGCUAAAUUCUCACGGGCAAAUAAUAAGUCCUAGCACCUGCUGGCUGGAACCCACAGGCUGUGACCUGUCUCCUCCAAUGUUUGUAUUUUCCUCUGCGGGAAAGAGCAACAUGGUAAAGAAUUCCUAUUAUUUCAAAUAUUUCACCAUGGUGUUAUCUAGCCUAGUCUAAACAAUGGUCCCGAUUGCUCUUGAGAGUUGUACUCUGCAGGAGAAAACGGUAACAAAUGUUGUUAUUCCCAACGUGAUCCCCCCCACUACGGGGACACAGAUAUUUGUGACAUGGAAUGGCAGUGUGCUCCUGGAAGCAUCAAUCCAGAUAUGUUAGCUGAAAAAGAGGAAAAAAUUGCCUCCCUUGCCAAAUUCCAAACUGAUCCACCCAGAAGAAGAUCCAUGCUGUGAUGCUUCUGUCCUGGACGUGCCAUUUGUUGAUGCAGGAAGUGGAUCACAUCCCAGGCUCUGGGAAUGUGCAGGAUGUGUCACUUGCCCCAUUGCCUUACAAACGAUAAAUCUCUAAAACCUCACUAAAAGCUGUAAUACUGCAAAAGCUGCAGCCAUGGCAAUUAUUUGCCUUCAUGUUCACUGACCCACUGAAGGAACCAGGCUGUGAACACCCUGACUCUAGUGGGAAAUGCCUGGACAGCCAGACCUGACCCAAAUGUCCAAACACAGCCAAACUUCAGCCUGAAUACACAUAACACAGUUAAUCCCGACUUAAUUUAUGGCAGCCUGAACCUGAAUGUGAACUCACCCACUGUGUUACCAGAGAUCCGAACCUGGAUUUGGCUCCCAAAUAGCUUGGGUCUAGGUCUUGAAAUUACCCAGUUGUUGGCUGCAGUCUGCUUUGGAGCUGGAGAUUUAUUUCUCCAGGAGGCAGGAAAACACAUUGUGUUGCCAAACUACUUCCAGUCUUUUCCAGAAUUACAAGUCAGGGGAUGGUGGGUAAGUCUUGUGAUUUUCAUCCUACAAUCUAAACCAGAUGGACUACUCUCGCAGCAUAAAUAUUUAAGCAAAAAAAAAGCAAAAAAAAAAAAAAAAAGUUCAGUUUCUUAAUUAAUUGCAUUAUUAUGACUUGCACUAUUUAACAGGAUGCGCAUAAAGCUGGUUUACAAGAUAGCUUGAUCACCUUCUUUGAUUCAUCUCAAUAAAAUCUGGAGUUUUUGUUUUCUCAGGGAUAAUGAAGUAACUGUAGAAUAAUAAAGCGGCUCUGCUUAUUGGAAACAGAAAGCUCUCAGCUUUCGGAAGAAAAGAUCCUCUCGGUGAAGCUCGUGCUGUAUUAAUCCAAAAAUACAAAUAAGUGGAGGUGAUCUGGAAAGCCUGUGUUACUGACAUCAGCCCAGCAUUUCUGCCACUGAAGAUCCUCUUCUCCGGCCUCAACUCAAAAAAUCUUUGUGGCAGAUUUGGCAUUGCCUGUAAUAAUUUAUGAACGUGAUGUGUUGACAUGUUUACUGUGUGCAUACAUUGAGCUACUUCAAUCGCUGCCUUGUCAGGAAGUGUACCCAGGAGAGAACAGAUGAAUCCAGGCACGCGGUUUGGAGGAAACACUGGGGAGCUGAAGCAUGCGCCCUUUGCUGUGACAUUUUGGCUGGGCCCCUGCUGGGCUCACAGGAGAGAUUUCCCUGGGAGAACAUGGGUGCCUGUGAAGGAAGGCACAGAAGGCCCUGGGGGAUUCACAGUGAACCAUUUAAAUGGAGGCUUUGGAGAGUGAGAACCUGAAAGGGGCUGAAAGCGCUCCGAUCUGCAGGUACCUAAUUCAGUACAUGUUGGCGAUAAAGGGGAUGUGGAACAUUUGUUUAACCGCCGUGCCUUAUUUCAGUGGUGAAAUGGCUCUUCUGUUUUAUAAACAUGGUUUAGGUUGCACAAGAGAGCUGGAUGCCUCUGUUCCCAGGUCCAUGUGGGAAUCAUGGUGAUUGUGCUGGGUAGGCUGGCUGGAGUUUGGCAAAGCUACAUCAGCCUGCCUGCAGGAAGGUGAGAGCUUGAGGCCUGGCGGCCUUCCCCAGACGGGAAGGCAGAAAGGCCACUGAUAGCUGAGAUCCAGCAGUAACCAUAACAAUACCAUCAUCUUUCUUAAAAGUCCCAGCACGUAAUUCUACUAAUGACUUUUAUUAAACAUUUAAGCCUUAGCCUUCAAGUGAUUCAUAUUUGUUACAAAACACCAUCCCAUUAACACAAAGUACAAGCCGAAACAAAGUUAAUGAGCCCUAAUGCUUGCCAGAUAAUACGAAGUUUGAGUGAUACUAACAAAAAUAAAAUUAGGAAGAAAUCUACUUUCAUUGUCCACCAGAGAAUUUGAGUUUUAUCCUUCUGGUUCAUAAAAACAAGUCCAUUGCUCAAGUGGCUAUUACGCUCUUAUUAAAGUUGUUCCAGAACA
RNAcentral lists this long non-coding RNA (2832 nucleotides) under Gallus gallus (chicken). RNAcentral's name for it is "lncRNA (ENSGALG00010018346.1)". Lineage: Eukaryota; Metazoa; Chordata; Aves; Galliformes; Phasianidae. The record is from RNAcentral.